UUGCUCGCUUUGGCAGCACAUAUACUGAAACUGGAAAUACAGAGAAGAUUAGCAUGGCCCCUGCGCAGGAUGACACGCGGAUUCGAGAUGCAUUCCACUUUUUUAA
This 106-nucleotide small nuclear RNA is filed under the name Pan troglodytes (chimpanzee). Lineage: Eukaryota; Metazoa; Chordata; Mammalia; Primates; Hominidae. The record is from RNAcentral.